Molecule: ribosomal RNA, 792 nt
Filed under: uncultured bacterium
Lineage: Bacteria
Description: bacterial SSU rRNA
Rfam family: Bacterial small subunit ribosomal RNA
Source: RNAcentral
AGUCGAUGAUGGGAGCUAGCUUGCUAGAAGAAGUCAUGGCGGACGGGUGAGUAACGUGUAAAGAACUUACCAUAUAGACUGGGAUAACAGAGGGAAACUUCUGAUAAUACUGGAUAAGUUAGUAGUAGCAUUACUAAGUAAUGAAAGGUAGCAAUACGCUAUAUGAGAGCUUUGCAUCCUAUUAGCUAGUUGGUGGGGUAAAAGCCUACCAAGGCGAUGAUAGGUAGCCGGCCUGAGAGGGUGGACGGCCACAAGGGGACUGAGAUACGGCCCUUACUCCUACGGGAGGCAGCAGUGGGGAAUAUUGGACAAUGGAGGCAACUCUGAUCCAGCAAUUCUGUGUGUGUGAAGAAGGUUUUAGGACUGUAAAACACUUUUAGUAGGGAAGAAAGAAAUGACGGUACCUACAGAAGAAGCGACGGCUAAAUACGUGCCAGCAGCCGCGGUAAUACGUAUGUCGCGAGCGUUAUCCGGAAUUAUUGGGCUUAAAGGGCAUCUAGGCGGUUAAACAAGUUGAAGGUGAAAACCUGUGGCUCAACCAUAGGCUUGCCUACAAAACUGUAUAACUAGAGUACUGGAAAGGUGGGUGGAACUACACGAGUAGAGGUGAAAUUCGUAGAUAUGUGUAGGAAUGCCGAUGAUGAAGAUAACUCACUGGACAGCAACUGACGCUGAAGUGCGAAAGCUAGGGGAGCAAACAGGAUUAGAUACCCUGGUAGUCCUAGCUGUAAACGAUGAUCACUGGGUGUGGGGAUUCGAAGUCUCUGUGCCGAAGCAAAAGCGAUAAGUGAU